GAUGAACGCUGACAGAAUGCUUAACACAUGCAAGUCUACUUGAACUUCGGUUUGGGUGGCGGACGGGUGAGUAACGCGUAAAGAACUUGCCUCACAGUUAGGGACAACAUUUGGAAACGAAUGCUAAUACCUGAUAUUAUGAUUUUAGGGCAUCCUAAAAUUAUGAAAGCUAUAUGCGCUGUGAGAGAGCUUUGCGUCCCAUUAGCUAGUUGGAGAGGUAACGGCUCACCAAGGCGAUGAUGGGUAGCCGGCCUGAGAGGGUGAACGGCCACAAGGGGACUGAGACACGGCCAUUACUCCUACGGGAGGCAGCAGUGGGGAAUAUUGGACAAUGGACCAAAAGUCUGAUCCAGCAAUUCGGUGUGCACGAAAACGUUUUUCGGAAUGAAAAGUGCUUUCAGUUGGGAAGAAAAAAAUGACGGUACCAAAAGAAGAAGUGACGGCUAAAUACGUG
This 454-nucleotide ribosomal RNA is filed under the name uncultured bacterium. Its description in RNAcentral is "partial 16S ribosomal RNA". It matches the Rfam family "Bacterial small subunit ribosomal RNA", at positions 28 to 507 of the family's 1533-position model. The record is from RNAcentral.